Long non-coding RNA from Lolium rigidum, 1235 nucleotides. RefSeq lists it as uncharacterized. The transcript has 5 exons. The record is from RefSeq and is a predicted model, not a curated record. Lineage: Eukaryota; Viridiplantae; Streptophyta; Magnoliopsida; Poales; Poaceae.
GUGGAGUAACGGGAAUUGCUUGGUCCGUCGAGAAGAGUAGAAGGCAAUGCUUUGAUUCUGUUCGUGCUAGUAAUGGUUAGCUUCUUUAUUUGCAUUUCCUUUUUCUUUUUCUUGAUGAUGUAAUAAGAGAGACUCAGAGCUCACAUAUUUGCAGGAGGUAAAGAUGAUAAGUUAUUUUGAGCAAAUUUUGUCACGGGAGAACGGUUUUUAUUUUCAAGCUGAGCCCGCAGCAAGAGAAACUUACAAUAUUUCUGGUUUGAUCAUAAGUGCAAAUUGCGUGCCAAACAGGUUUUGCGAUCUACUACUAAUGAGUAUUGACUUGACCAGCGAUGCCGACUUCUAGCACCUGGCACAAGAAGAUGCAGGCAUCAACAAAGAAGCUUUUGCAAGGUCCAAGAGCAGUCAAUCAUCAGAAGAGACUCCCACCAUUCUCCAGUAUUUGUUCCCUGCGGCGGUGAGAUAUACCCCAGAGGGGCGAGUCUGUUCCGCAAAUCGCAGCAUGACAGGGAGGACGGACGUGCCGCGGAACAAGAUCGGCAUCGGAACAUGGCGGAAGAUCUCCUCAUAUGGACGCACGCCGUUCUGGUAUCCCAGGUACGUUUUGUCAAAUGCCAAAGCCCAACGAUUCUCAUUCUUUGGUGCCACCGGAGGAAAGGUAGUACCCUCCCCGCCUGAGUAACGUGCUCUGGUUGCUGGACUGCUGGAGGCCUCUCACUGGAGGAUGAAUGGAUGAUGCUGGUACUGUGGAAUUUAAUGGAAAGCUGGGCUCUAGAAGGACCAGAUUAGAUCGCGGUGGAAGCUAGCUAAGCUGGUGACAUACAGCAGAAACGUCACGGAGGAGGAUUGCAGCACCUGCACGGCUGCACCUCCACUUCACGCGGUUUAUGAAGCUCCAAAGCAGCCAUGGAUACCAUUCCAUCAGUCAAGAACUAUUCUGCAAGUGCCUCAUGUGGAGUGAUUCUGGGGUCAGAUCGAUCGAUGCUCUCUUCUCGUGGCGGCUCGUGUGGGAUAUAUAUCAUCAGUGGGUUUCAGACGAUGCGGGUCCUGCCUGGAAAAGCGCAAAGCGCGAGCGAAGAUACGAGGCGGCCGGCCGGCGAUCGGACCGAUCGCGCUGGCGGAUUUUAUCCUCGCGUGUGGAUUUGUUAAAGAAACUGCGUACGUACGGAGGCAUGCAGCAAAGUCAGCAUAUGCAGCUGUGUGUGUGUGUGCAUGCACCUCGGAAAGCAGAAAAGGUA